RNAcentral lists this ribosomal RNA (679 nucleotides) under Abra longicallus. RNAcentral's name for it is "partial large subunit ribosomal RNA". It matches the Rfam family "Eukaryotic large subunit ribosomal RNA", at positions 355 to 819 of the family's 3401-position model. Lineage: Eukaryota; Metazoa; Mollusca; Bivalvia; Cardiida; Semelidae. The record is from RNAcentral.
GAGGGAAAGUUGAAAAGAACUUUGAAGGGAGAGUUCAACAGUACGUGAAACCGCAUAGAGGUAAACGGGUGGACCCGCAGCAGUUCGGCCCGGGGAAUUCAGCCCAGCGGCCACGGUGCCGCGCUUGGCAUUCAAGGGGGAUACCCAGUUACCCCGCCAGGCGUUGCGCGCCGGUCGCGGGGUGCACUUUCUCCGGGCGGAGAGCCACGACCGGCUCCCGCGGCGGUCACAAGCCCGGUCGGGAAGGUGACUUGAGUCUGGGCUCGCCCGGUGCUCGAGAGUUACAGCCCGCCGUGGUGGACACGCCGCGGAGCCGAGGAUGCCGCAGCUUGCCUCGGUCCCGGGUGCCCCUCGUCCGUCUCGACCUCCGUUGCAUUGCUCGCAGUGCGCGGUAACUGCGGCGCGGGGGCAUUUCGCCCGGAUCACCAGGUUCGCGAAGGGUCGGUGGCGAAUCGGUCGGUGCUCCACCCGACCCGUCUUGAAACACGGACCAAGGAGUCUAACAUGUGCGCGAGUCACGGGGACUCUCAGACGAAACCCAAAGGCGCAACGAAAGUGAGGGGGGCCUCCGGCCCGUCCCAGGCAGGAUCCCGUCCCGCUCGCGGGGCGGGCGCACUGCCGGCCCGUCUCGACGGCAUUGUUCGCGAGGCGGAGCAAGAGCGCACACGUUGGGACCCCA